Molecule: ribosomal RNA, 1167 nt
Filed under: uncultured organism
Description: bacterial SSU rRNA
Rfam family: Bacterial small subunit ribosomal RNA
Source: RNAcentral
AGCGGCAGGCUUACACAUGCAAGUCGAGGGGUAACGAUUCUGAGUAAUCGGAAGGCGACGACCGGCGCACGGGUGAGUAUCGCGUUUGCAACCUACCUCUGACUGGAGCAUAGCCCGAAGAAAUUCGGAUUAAUACUCCAUAAUACUGCGAGAAGGCAUCUUUUUUCAGUUAAAGCUUCGGCGGUCAGAGAUGGGCAUGCGUAACAUUAGCUAGUUGGUGAGGUAACUGCUCACCAAGGCUACGAUGUUUAGGGGGUCUGAGAGGAUGGUCCCCCACACUGGUACUGAGACACGGACCAGACUCCUACGGGAGGCAGCAGUGAGGAAUAUUGGUCAAUGGGCGAAAGCCUGAACCAGCCAUGCCGCGUGAAGGAUGACGGCCCUAUGGGCUGUAAACUUCUUUUAUACGGGAAGAAACCUCUCUACGUGUAGAGGGUUGACGGUACCGUACGAAUAAGCAUCGGCUAACUCCGUGCCAGCAGCCGCGGUAAUACGGAGGAUGCAAGCGUUAUCCGGAUUCAUUGGGUUUAAAGGGUGCGCAGGCGGAGAAUUAAGUCAGUGGUGAAAUCCUGCAGCUUAACUGUAGAAUUGUCAUUGAUACUGGUUUUCUUGAAUGCAGUUGAGGUAGGCGGAAUGUGUAAUGUAGCGGUGAAAUGCUUAGAUAUUACCCAGAACACCGAUUGCGAAGGCAGCUUACUAAACUGUGAUUGACGCUGAGGCACGAAAGCGUGGGGAGCGAACAGGAUUAGAUACCCUGGUAGUCCACGCUGUAAACUAUGAUCACUCGUUGUUGGCAAUACAUCGUCAGCGACUGAGCGAAAGCAUUAAGUGAUCCACCUGGGGAGUACGAUCGCAAGAUUGAAACUCAAAGGAAUUGACGGGGGCCCGCACAAGCGGAGGAACAUGUGGUUUAAUUCGAUGAUACGCGAGGAACCUUACCUGGGCUUAAAUGCAUAACGACGGACCGGGAAACUGGUCUUUCUUCGGACGGCAUGCAAGGUGCUGCAUGGCUGUCGUCAGCUCGUGCCGUGAGGUGUCGGGUUAAGUCCCAUAUCGAGCCCAACCCUUAUCGUUAGUUGCCAGCGGGUAAUGCCGGGGAGUGUAAUGAAAUUGACCUGUGUAAACGGAGAGGAAGGUGGGGAUGAUGUCAAGUCAGCACGUCCUUUA